RNAcentral lists this ribosomal RNA (692 nucleotides) under uncultured bacterium. Its description in RNAcentral is "bacterial SSU rRNA". It matches the Rfam family "Bacterial small subunit ribosomal RNA", at positions 8 to 683 of the family's 1533-position model. The record is from RNAcentral.
AGAGUUUGAUCAUGGCUCAGGAUGAACGCUGGCGGCGUGCCUAAUACAUGCAAGUAGAACGCUGAAGCUUGGUGCUUGCACCGAGCGGAUGAGUUGCGAACGGGUGAGUAACGCGUAGGUAACCUGCCUGGUAGCGGGGGAUAACUAUUGGAAACGAUAGCUAAUACCGCAUAACAGUCGACAUUGCAUGAUGUUGACUUGAAAGGGGCAAUUGCUCCACUACCAGAUGGACCUGCGUUGUAUUAGCUAGUUGGUGAGGUAACGGCUCACCAAGGCGACGAUACAUAGCCGACCUGAGAGGGUGAUCGGCCACACUGGGACUGAGACACGGCCCAGACUCCUACGGGAGGCAGCAGUAGGGAAUCUUCGGCAAUGGACGGAAGUCUGACCGAGCAACGCCGCGUGAGUGAAGAAGGUUUUCGGAUCGUAAAGCUCUGUUGUAAGAGAAGAACGAGUGUGAGAGUGGAAAGUUCACACUGUGACGGUAUCUUACCAGAAAGGGACGGCUAACUACGUGCCAGCAGCCGCGGUAAUACGUAGGUCCCGAGCGUUAUCCGGAUUUAUUGGGCGUAAAGCGAGCGCAGGCGGUUAGAUAAGUCUGAAGUUAAAGGCUGUGGCUUAACCAUAGUACGCUUUGGAAACUGUCAAACUUGAGUGCAGAAGGGGAGAGUGGAAUUCCAUGUGUAGCGGUG